Long non-coding RNA from Humulus lupulus (European hop), 3442 nucleotides. RefSeq lists it as uncharacterized. The transcript has 11 exons. The record is from RefSeq and is a predicted model, not a curated record. NCBI's taxonomy places the organism in Eukaryota, Viridiplantae, Streptophyta, Magnoliopsida, Rosales, Cannabaceae.
CAAAAUUUCUGCGGCAACUAAAAUAAAAAAGUGCCAUCUUUCCCGUGUACAGUAACUCCCUUUCCCGUGUACCCAUUUCCAAUCUCAUUUUCUUCGAUCUUUCUCCUCCUGGUAUACUCUCCCGUGUCUCAUUUUUCCUGGUAUACCCAUUUCCCAUUUCCCUUUGACCCAUUUCCGGCGAUAUAGGAGGCACAUAUCCUCUCUCUCGGAUCUCUUUCUCCCACCAAACCUCUCUCCUUCCCUCUUUCUCUCUCACCUGUCUUUAUGGAGCCCGACCUUCCCUAUCAUUGGCAAAUGGCGCAAAUGAUAGGGGCUCGUGGGUCUUGUGAAAACGAUGGGCUCAGGGUCGUGGGUGGCUCGGUCUUGCAGAGGGGUCCGAGGGGGUGGGUGGCUCGGUCUUGCAGAGGGGUCCGAGCCCCCUCUUCUUUCUUCUUGAAAUUUUGGAUUGUAUUUGGAUACGAUGAGGGAGCCAUCAUGGUUAAAAUUGGUCGAGAAGAACCAGUUGCCAGCAUGGACAAUGGGGGAAAAUAAUUUGGGCGAAGCAUAAUGAAGUUCAAAUUGUGAAUAUCAAAAGUGUUGGGAAUACAGAGGUCGCAGAUGGAGAACGAUUGCCUUUGGUCGUCAAGGAAUUGGGAACAUGUGAUCUUUAUCCUCAACUUCCUAGUUUAUCCUGAGUUAGAAACUAGAAACUCCAUUCAGUUGCCAUCUUAUUGCCCAAUGCAGAGAUCGAAAUUCUGUGGUGGCACAAAAUUCAAAUAAUUAGAAGGUUCGAUAACAUGCCAUGAUUAUCAAGAAAUCAAAAUUCAAGAAAGUACACAUGUAUUAGGGGUCGGGGCUAUUCCUCGUUCAAUACUCGUCAUUCUAAAAGAUGAUCUUGUUGAUGUUGUUAAAGCAGGAGAUGACGUUAUAGUCACUGGGGUCUUAACUGCAAGGUUGUCGCCUGACUUAAAAGAUGUUUGCUGCGACCUUGAUCCUGUGUUGAUUGCUAAUCAUGUGAAGUAAAUGUAACAACUCUGUUUGAAAGAAGAAACAUUUUUCAUUGUUGAGAUGGUUGUUGUUCCAUUGGAGUCAUACAUGGUACUAAAGAGAGGAGAACAAAUGAGCUGAAAUCGGAUAUUACUAUUCCUCAUGAUGCCAUUAUGAAAUUCAAUCAAUUUUGGAACGAGUUUAAGGAUACCCCUUUGAAAGGUAAGGCAUCGUUGAUUAAUAUAUAUCAUUUUAUAAAUCAGUGUUCUUCUAUCAAUUCUUCAGCAUCAAUCAAUUAGAGAUCUUCAUUCAAAAAGAAAAUAUUGGAAACUAGGCCCCCUUAUAUGUAAGACUGUUAUGACUUCAAUUUUUUUUAAUGAAAAUUAUUCAAGGAGAAAUGCAAUAUUACAAGGUGUUUGUCCACAAAUUUUUGGACUCUUCACUGUAAAGCUUGCAGGUACAUAGCUUUCUCAUAUAAAUUCAUGAUUUGUUUAUCUUAAGUUAAAGAUUUUGAAUGACUGUUAAACAUUCACUACCAGCACCUUCUCUUUUUUCAACUUAGUUGCAUUAACACUUAUUGGAGGUGUGCAACAUGUUGAUGCUUCUGGAACCAAGGUACGAGGAGAGUCUACUUUACUUUUGGUUGGAGACCCAGGUACCUUUUCGAUUUUCAUUGCAUACUUAUAGGGUUCAUUACUUAAAUAAAAUUCUAUCAAUUCAAGACUACUGCAUUUAUGCUAUGCUUCAGUUGAAGAAGCUUUCUUUUCUUCAAAAUUCUGAUAGGAAAUUAACAAUCACUUAAAUCUAGAAAAAUAAGAACACCAUUGUAUUUUGUCUAACUGAUUCAUGAUAUUUUAUGAGUGUCUAAAGCCUGUAACCUAUAUGAAUUUUCCUGUACAAUACAAUUAGGGUUAUUACAAACAAGUUAUCCAUAGUAUUGUAUUGAGUGGUCCUUUAAUGCAAAUAAUAGGUAGGGUAACUAAUGUAAAUGGUCUAAGGGUGGGAAAAUAUAAAUUUUAGAGAGAAAUUUUGAGAGCAAGAAAGUAUAGAAGAAAGCUCCAGGAUUGGACUUAAAUAGUUCAAAACUUCAGGGUUUUAUUUUCUCAAUAGAAGACAUUUCUUUGCUGGUUGGAUCCAUGGACAAAUGCAAUAUUUGCCAAACCAUGUUAAAUAUUGGUAUUGAUGCUUUUGAUAUGUUCUUGUGCUCUUGAUGUGUUUGUUGGAUGUUAUUCUAAAGGUUAUUAGUAUAAGAGGUAUUUUCUCCCUUAUAACAAUUGAGAUAUGGAUUGCACGCCAUUUUAUAACUUGUCUUUUCAGGUAACACAUGCAUUAGCUACAUUCAUUAUAACUACAGAAAAUUAGAAUUACUGAAAUUUUCCUUGAAAAAUAGAAAACUGCCCAACCAUUAUUAAUUUUUCCAAUAAAAAUAGUUUUUCAAAGCUGAAAAUUCUUCUCUAGUCCUUGUUAAUUUAUUCUUGUUUGGCUUGAGUAAUGCAGCUCAGUUUAAUUGUUUGUUGCUUUACCCUUCCCUUGGGGUUUCUGGUCCUUUUAUUUUGCUCAUUAUAUAGGUGGGAGUUAUCUUAUUAUUUCAAUAUACCCAAAUAUAUAUAUAUUUAUAUUACUAUCAUUGGUGAACAACUGCUAAUGAGUUCAGAUUCUUUUUUUGAAUCUGUAUGUAAUCAUUAAAGCAUUAUACGGAAAAAGUUACAUGUAUAUGUAUAUAUGUAGUAAAAAAUUUUAAGGCUUUUCUCAGGUACCGGGAAAUCUCAGUUCUUGAAAUUUGCUGCAAAGUUAAGUAACAGAUCUGUUGUCACUACUGGCUUAGGAAGCACUAGUGCUGGACUCACUGUCACUGCAGUCAAGGAUGGAGGUUGGGGAUCGAAUUGGCAAGGAGCAUUGCAAAGGUAAUUUGCAAGAGUUGUUAAACCCAGACAAAAAACAAGAUUUUAGUAAGAGAACAACAUCAAAUACAAAUUCAUUGGAGAUGGAUAAAAGUUGGAUCCAUCUUAACAGAGUAACGGUGGAAUAUGAGCAAAAAGCUAGAGAGUUUGCACUUGCUUGACUGGGCAGAUGCAAUUGUUGCUGAAGGUCAUUGGGAUUCUAGUGAUCCAAAUAUAACUGUACAUGGAAAGCCUCUUGGACCGAACUUUAUGCGAGUAUGGGUUGAUGUUGCUAUUGUACCAGAGUCUUACUUAUUUCUUCCUAAUCAUGCGAUGCUUACAAUACAAGAAGCAGUUGGUUCCACAGUUGCAUGGCCUUCUAAAAAAGUUAUUCCAAGAGAUAUGACAAGCGAAGUAUAAAAGGAUACUUAAGACUCCUUGAAAGUAGUAACUUUGUUUAUUUCUUUGUGUUGAAAGAAGUAACUUUUAGACUCCUUGAAUACUUAAAGAAUAUUUUGUUGUUGAUGACAUUGUUGAAUGUUUUAAACUAAAUUGUGGAUUGUUAAUUUAAUGUAGAAUGUUCUUACUUUUUGUUA